Molecule: ribosomal RNA, 253 nt
Filed under: uncultured bacterium
Lineage: Bacteria
Description: partial 16S ribosomal RNA
Rfam family: Bacterial small subunit ribosomal RNA
Source: RNAcentral
UACGAAGGGUGCAAGCGUUAAUCGGAAUUACUGGGCGUAAAGCGUGCGUAGGCGGUUUCUUAAGUCCGUUGUGAAAGCCCUGGGCUCAACCUGGGAACUGCGAUGGAUACUGAGGAGCUGGAGCACGGUAGAGGCAGAUGGAAUUCCCGGUGUAGCGGUGGAAUGCGUAGAGAUCCGGAAGAACACCGGUGGCGAAGGCGGUCUGCUGGGGUAAUGCUGACACUGAUGCGCGACAGCGUGGGGAGCAAACAGG